CAUUCAAGAAUCAAGGUGCAGGAUGUCGGUAAGUUUCAAACAUUCUGUAGAAGGUAUCAAAAACAGUUUCCAGGAAGAAUAGUGGUUUAUUGACGCAGAAGGGUGUACAUUUUCCCCAAAUUGAAGUUCGAUAAGCUGAAAAAAUCGUUUCAGUUAGAAGCUGGGUUUGCUGUAUAUGCGAAGAGAAAUUCAAAAUUCGGAAAUGGAGUAGAUAAAAUCCAGGCUGUAUAUGUUUCAUAGGUAAGAGAAACCACGGAAGUAGCAAUAGUUCAAACGAGGGGUAAUCCGCUAGCUACUUGUCGGGCCAAGAUACGUUAAUCCAAUGAAAUUUACAUUGUCGUCAAGGGAUCCCAUAUUGACACAUAUGAGAUUUGAUCGAAAAUGCAUAUAUGUUAUAUAUAUAUAUAGCAAUGUUAAAUCUCUGAACGAGGUAUUAACAGUAACUGCACGACAAAGUGAAGUAUAUUUGCCACUUAAAUGUGGCUGACCCCUAAGGGUGGAUGUUACUGUUGUUUUUAGCCCAAGGAGAACAUCUCCAAGAUGGGAAAGAUAACUUCCCUUUGCAAAUAUAGACAGGACACAGAUGUGUGUCGAUAGCCAGCUGGAGAAGUUUUUCUGGGUUAAAAGCAACAGUAACACCCACUCUUAGGAGUCAGCCACAUUUAAGUAGCAAAUAUACUUCACCUUAUAUAUAUAUAUAUAUAUAUAUAUAUAUAUAUAUACACAGUGUGUGUGUGUGUGUGAGAGAGAGAGAGAGAGAAAGAGGGAGAGGAUGGAACUACACAAGGACAGAUAGUAGAAGAGUCAUUGUUUCUGUUUCUCUCUCUCACUCCUCCUCUUUCUCCUUGACUCUAUCGUCGUUUAGACGUGACGAAAGGAGUUUUCUCUUUCUGCCCGCUACCUUCCUAAAGAACAGACGUGUUUUGUCUGUCUCUUCUAUCAUGGCACUUCUACUUAGCGUUUAUAACAAUUUUUCUAUCGUCUUGGCUCAACAGCCCUCACCAUUUGUUUUCACUGUCUUGUUGUCACUGUCUUUUUUUUAUUGUUUUUAUUGUCUUGUUCUCACUGUCCUAUUCCUGUUAACACUCUCACCCUCCGCAAAUAAUUCAAAUUUAUUUAAUUUGCUUUGUGGGAAGAACUGUUCCAACGAAGUCGCGUAUUGUCCUUGCCUUCGAAACGCGAAGUAGAUGGAACAGGAACAACUGACGAAGAGAGUUUGAAAUUCUACUACCUCCACCGGUGAAUCACAUGUGCCAUAAAUAAACGUCUAAAGUGAGGUGAUCUCAAAUGGCGAAAAGCACCAUCGAUCUGAUAUUCACAUUGGAAUCUCUCAAAAUAUAUUCAGUAUGGAUACGUUAUUGUUUGGAUUCUCUCUGUUCGGCGUGCAUCUCAUGAAUUAAUAUUCUAUCUGAUAUAUUAAAAAGCAUAUACAGUGAGAAUUAAAGCAACAAUUCUACAGUUUAAAUUCCAGUAUCAUUAAAAUAUACGAUAGAAUUUGAAAGCAGCAUCACCGUGCAACGCAGAAUGCAUUGUUUCUCCAAACUAUUUACUAUCGAUAAUGAUAAUAUCUGGAAUUAUGUUGUACACUGUUGCGGAACAACAACAAGCAAUGUUUUCAAAUUCGAAUAUUGUGUUUAGAUUACAAUGCAAAUGUAAGAUAUACUCUAGCAAACACCAGCUCACACAUGGCCUGCUGAAAUUAAAGCCACAUGUGCCGAUGGGUCAUGCUAAUAUCAGAAAUUUACAACUGUUUGAAAUUUUUUGUUGACACAUGUUCAAAAUGGAGAGAAAUUAUUGGAUGUAAAUAAAGGCAUAUCAAAUUGAUCACAAUAUAUCCAUUAACAUGAUCAAUAACUAGAGCUGCGGUAAUUAUGUUUCGUCGUGAAUAAUUACAAUGACGCGGCAUAGCAUACAUACAUCAAAGGAGGCUAAUGUAAGACGGAAGCUAACGUAAGAAAUAAAAGUGUAAGAAUUGAAAGUAAAA
This is a long non-coding RNA of Octopus bimaculoides (California two-spot octopus), 1984 nucleotides long. RefSeq lists it as uncharacterized. The record is from RefSeq and is a predicted model, not a curated record. NCBI's taxonomy places the organism in Eukaryota, Metazoa, Mollusca, Cephalopoda, Octopoda, Octopodidae.